GACGAACGCUGGCGGCGUGCCUAAUACAUGCAAGUCGAGCGGACUGAUUAAGAGCUUGCUCUUAUGACGUUAGCGGCGGACGGGUGAGUAACACGUGGGCAACCUGCCCUGUAGAUCGGGAUAACACCGAGAAAUCGGUGCUAAUACCGGGUAAUAUCUGAGAUCACAUGAUCUUAGGUUAAAAGAUGGCUCCGGCUAUCACUACAGGAUGGGCCCGCGGCGCAUUAGCUAGUUGGUAAGGUAAUGGCUUGCCAAGGCGACGAUGCGUAGCCGACCUGAGAGGGUGAUCGGCCACACUGGGACUGAGACACGGCCCAGACUCCUACGGGAGGCAGCAGUAGGGAAUCUUCCGCAAUGGACGAAAGUCUGACGGAGCAACGCCGCGUGAGUGAUGAAGGGUUUCGGCGCGUAAAGCUCUGUUGUUAGGGAAGAAACAGUACCGAACGAACUAGGUCGGUACCUUGACGGUACCUAACCAGAAAGCCACGGCUAACUACGUG
This 500-nucleotide ribosomal RNA is filed under the name uncultured bacterium. RNAcentral describes it as "partial 16S ribosomal RNA". It matches the Rfam family "Bacterial small subunit ribosomal RNA", at positions 28 to 507 of the family's 1533-position model. The record is from RNAcentral.